UACGUAGGGGGCAAGCGUUGUCCGGAUUUAUUGGGCGUAAAGAGCGUGUAGGCGGCCAUGUAGGUCCGUUGUGAAAACUCGAGGCUCAACCUCGAGACGCCGAUGGAAACCAUGUGGCUAGAGUCCGGAAGAGGAGAGUGGAAUUCCUGGUGUGGCGGUGAAAUGCGCAGAUAUCAGGAAGAACACCCGUGGCUAAGGCGGCUCUCUAGUACGGUACUGACGCUGAGGUGCGAAAGCGUGGGGAGCGAACAGG
This 253-nucleotide ribosomal RNA is filed under the name uncultured bacterium. Its description in RNAcentral is "partial 16S ribosomal RNA". It matches the Rfam family "Bacterial small subunit ribosomal RNA", at positions 524 to 776 of the family's 1533-position model. The record is from RNAcentral.